RNAcentral lists this microRNA precursor (110 nucleotides) under Rhipicephalus microplus (southern cattle tick). Its description in RNAcentral is "microRNA rmi-mir-5319 precursor". Lineage: Eukaryota; Metazoa; Arthropoda; Arachnida; Ixodida; Ixodidae. The record is from miRBase by way of RNAcentral.
CACCUACUUGCAGCUGCAGAAAGCAGUUGUUUUGGGAGGACACUGCUGUAUGUUAGACAACAAGCAGGCCUUUCCAGAAUGACUGCUUUUCGAGUCUGCCUGCGAGUGGU